Long non-coding RNA from Dromaius novaehollandiae (emu), 1185 nucleotides. Ensembl lists it as uncharacterized. The record is from Ensembl. NCBI's taxonomy places the organism in Eukaryota, Metazoa, Chordata, Aves, Casuariiformes, Dromaiidae.
UGCCACAUGUUCAGGCAAUAAAUUGGUUGUAACAGAGCUGCUUCCUGCACUCUGCUGAGUAGAAGUAUUCCAACUGAGACAAUAACUGGCAAAAUAAGAUUGACAAACUCUGGUCUCCAUUCACUGAUAAAGUUACCUGAAUCUCAGUUUAAGACUACAGUAUGGUUACCAGGAUUUCUCAAGUACUUCCGCAAUGCUGCUCCGCUCAGGCCGCCAAAAGCCGUACAAAGUACCUAGCAGGAGAAGGCAAUCUGUUAAAUAUCUACUGAAGACUGGCAAAGCAGCUCCAGAAAAGUCAGGGUUUAGUCUACGAGAAACAGUAAAAUGUUACAUACUGACAGAAGAUUCAAAAACUGUCCAUUUUGACUUAGAUGAACAUGGUCAUCAUGAAAUAUCCACCAAGGAUUCACAAUCCCAUGAAGAUAUCGCAUGGUUAAGCGUGUUCACAAGCAAUGACUCAACAGUUUGUGGUAAGACUCGGAUGACUGAAGUGGAAAGAAAAUUAUCUCAGGAAAGUGCUAAAAAUCUGGUGAUCCUCACGCAGAGAUCAAAGCUUAAUGAAUUUGUCCUGUUGUGCAAGGGUGAAAAGCAGCUCUCUCUAAAGGUCUUAAAAGCACGCUGUUCAAAACCAGAUUAUGCUAAAGUGAAAAGAUGCAACACGAAAAUAUGCAAGCAUGAAGAUCCUGACUUCGAACAGCUGAGUGAAGACAAUCUCUUUUUCAUCAUGCAUUGCCAAGGAGAUUCAGUGAAGUUCCAAUGCUAUGAAGACACAAGUUACUAUCUGCAUGUGAAUGAGGACUCACUUGACAUACGCAAGCCAGAAGACACAGAACCUGAUGGGGAGAAAAAUUUUUACUUCAGGGUGUCAUAUUUGUAGGAAAAGUAAUUUGUCUACCUUUCAGUGGCCUAAGUGUCCAUAAAACUCCUAUAAUAAGCUAACAGAAAAGAUUGAGAUCAUAUAGAACUAAUCUCUAUUUUGCCUUUUUUAUGACUUUUUUUUACCAUCUUGAGUCACAAUUUUCCAUUUUAUGAGUGACAUCCUUUAGUUCUGUUCUGUACAAUAGGAAGAGAAAAUGGUUAAGUUUGGAAAGCAAAGUCUGCUGGUAUUUUAUCUGCACAAUUAUUGUUUUGAGUAGCUGAGUUCUUCCUGAAGGGGAAAAAUAAACAGAGCUUAUCUCAAAAACA